RNAcentral lists this transfer RNA (75 nucleotides) under Alphaproteobacteria bacterium. RNAcentral describes it as "tRNA-Asn". It matches the Rfam family "tRNA". From Rfam's summary of the family: Transfer RNA (tRNA) molecules are approximately 80 nucleotides in length. Their secondary structure includes four short double-helical elements and three loops (D, anti-codon, and T loops). The record is from RNAcentral. Lineage: Bacteria; Pseudomonadati; Pseudomonadota; Alphaproteobacteria.
UCCGGCGUAGCUCAGUGGUAGAGCGACGGACUGUUAAUCCGUUGGUCGUAGGUUCGAGUCCUACCGCCGGAGCCA